UACGUAGGGUCCGAGCGUUGUCCGGAAUUACUGGGCGUAAAGAGCUCGUAGGUGGUUUGUCGCGUUGUUCGUGAAAACUCACAGCUUAAUGCGGGCGUGCGGGCGAUACGGGCAGACUGGAGUACUGCAGGGGAGACUGGAAUUCCUGGUGUAGCGGUGGAAUGCGCAGAUAUCAGGAGGAACACCGGUGGCGAAGGCGGGUCUCUGGGCAGUAACUGACGCUGAGGAGCGAAAGCGUGGGGAGCGAACAGG
Molecule: ribosomal RNA, 252 nt
Filed under: uncultured bacterium
Lineage: Bacteria
Description: partial 16S ribosomal RNA
Rfam family: Bacterial small subunit ribosomal RNA
Source: RNAcentral